CCAACCCCCCCCCAAAAAAAAACCACCCAAAAAACCAACAACAAAAAAAGAAGAAACAAAAACAGAAGUCAGGUGUAUGAAAAUUAAUAUUCUAAAUAAUAAAUAUAAUACUUAACAGCCGUUGGUUAAAAUUUUGCUGUGGUGACGUUAAACUCACAAUAUUUCUUUCCCUUUCAGUACAGAAAUUUUCCUGUGUGGCGUGUAGGUCGCCGGUUUGGGCGAGACCACACUGUCCGUGCGGUAACGCGCUCGAUAAAUGGGGCUGUCCGACCGUGUGUUGCAGGAGCUGUAAAGUGUCUGCCUGGUGUGACCCUCACACGAUAAAGUACUGCCCUCUCAAGUGUCUCGCCGGUUACUGCCACCACCUCAGCAACGGCUGCCCCACCUGUAAGUGCAGGUUACCGUACUGAGCUGCAGGUUACAGUACUGAGCUGCAGGUUACCGUACUGAGCUGCAGGUUACCGUACGGAGCUGCUGGCUGGGAGUCUCGAAAAACCUGGGUUCCAAAGGCAGAUCCGUCUCAGUAGUCGACCUUCUGUGUCCAUCAAAUGAACGUGUGCAAAUGUGUUUGGAUGUUUUAAAGAAUAAAUAAAUAUUUUUCAAUAAAACACAAAAAA
Molecule: long non-coding RNA, 617 nt
Organism: Gigantopelta aegis
Lineage: Eukaryota; Metazoa; Mollusca; Gastropoda; Neomphalida; Peltospiridae
Exons: 2
Source: RefSeq, a predicted model, not a curated record